This 419-nucleotide ribosomal RNA is filed under the name Bacillus sp. 007-2.1-LH-Heh(h)-07. RNAcentral describes it as "bacterial SSU rRNA". It matches the Rfam family "Bacterial small subunit ribosomal RNA", at positions 44 to 454 of the family's 1533-position model. Lineage: Bacteria; Bacillati; Bacillota; Bacilli; Caryophanales; Bacillaceae. The record is from RNAcentral.
UUGCCUAAUACAGCAAGUCGAGCGAAUCGAUGGGAGCUUGCUCCCUGAGAUUAGCGGCGGACGGGUGAGUAACACGUGGGCAACCUGCCUAUAAGACUGGGAUAACUUCGGGAAACCGGAGCUAAUACCGGAUACGUUCUUUUCUCGCAUGAGAGAAGAUGGAAAGACGGUUUACGCUGUCACUUAUAGAUGGGCCCGCGGCGCAUUAGCUAGUUGGUGAGGUAAUGGCUCACCAAGGCGACGAUGCGUAGCCGACCUGAGAGGGUGAUCGGCCACACUGGGACUGAGACACGGCCCAGACUCCUACGGGAGGCAGCAGUAGGGAAUCUUCCGCAAUGGACGAAAGUCUGACGGAGCAACGCCGCGUGAACGAAGAAGGCCUUCGGGUCGUAAAGUUCUGUUGUUAGGGAAGAACAAGU